GACGUAGGGCGCAAGCGUUGUCCGGAUUUAUUGGGCGUAAAGAGCUCGUAGGCGGCUUGUUGCGUCGACCGUGAAAACCCGCGGCUCAACUGCGGGCUUGCGGUCGAUACGGGCAGGCUGGAGUUCGGUAGGGGAGACUGGAAUUCCUGGUGUAGCGGUGAAAUGCGCAGAUAUCAGGAGGAGCACCGGUGGCGAAGGCGGGUCUCUGGGCCGAUACUGACGCUGAGGAGCGAAAGCGUGGGGAGCGAACAGG
RNAcentral lists this ribosomal RNA (253 nucleotides) under uncultured bacterium. RNAcentral describes it as "partial 16S ribosomal RNA". It matches the Rfam family "Bacterial small subunit ribosomal RNA", at positions 524 to 776 of the family's 1533-position model. The record is from RNAcentral.